This 492-nucleotide ribosomal RNA is filed under the name uncultured bacterium. RNAcentral describes it as "partial 16S ribosomal RNA". It matches the Rfam family "Bacterial small subunit ribosomal RNA", at positions 29 to 507 of the family's 1533-position model. The record is from RNAcentral.
AGUGAACGCUGGCGGUAGGCCUAACACAUGCAAGUCGAACGGCAGCACAGUAAGAGCUUGCUCUUACGGGUGGCGAGUGGCGGACGGGUGAGGAAUACAUCGGAAUCUACUUUUUCGUGGGGGAUAACGUAGGGAAACUUACGCUAAUACCGCAUACGACCUACGGGUGAAAGCAGGGGAUCUUCGGACCUUGCUCGAUUGAAUGAGCCGAUGUCGGAUUAGCUAGUUGGCGGGGUAAAGGCCCACCAAGGCGACGAUCCGUAGCUGGUCUGAGAGGAUGAUCAGCCACACUGGAACUGAGACACGGUCCAGACUCCUACGGGAGGCAGCAGUGGGGAAUAUUGGACAAUGGGCGAAAGCCUGAUCCAGCCAUACCGCGUGGGUGAAGAAGGCCUUCGGGUUGUAAAGCCCUUUUGUUGGGAAAGAAAAGCAGCAGGUUAAUACCCCGCUGUUCUGACGGUACCCAAAGAAUAAGCACCGGCUAACUUCGUG